AAGCCUCCUCCUCCCCUGCUACUUCCCACAGACAACUCUGAACAGGCUGUGGGCAGCACUACUUCCUUCUACCUGAGGGCAGAACACAUAUGGGAGGAAAGCAAAAUGGCAGGAUCCAGGAGAGGGAGCAACCAGAGCAACGAGUACCCAGGGUAAAACCAGGAAAUGCCUACCCACAAGACCCACAGAAAAAGCAAUGGUGUGAUCUUAUUCUUCCUUAAAAUAACUUGCAAGUCUGUUGGUUUGUGGCAUUGCUGUUUAAUAGUACAGAGCAUUAUUACAGAAAAACAGCAUAAACCAAACAGUUUUCAUAAAGGAAAAAAAAGACA
Long non-coding RNA from Pipra filicauda (Wire-tailed manakin), 329 nucleotides. RefSeq lists it as uncharacterized. The record is from RefSeq and is a predicted model, not a curated record. The transcript is spliced from 2 exons. Lineage: Eukaryota; Metazoa; Chordata; Aves; Passeriformes; Pipridae.